UACGGAGGGUGCAAGCGUUGUUCGGAAUUACUGGGCGUAAAGCGCACGUAGGCGGAUUGUUUAGUGAGGGGUGAAAUCCCGGGGCUCAACCCUGGAACUGCCUCUCAUACUGGCAAUCUCGAGUUCGAGAGAGGUGAGUGGAAUUCCGAGUGUAGAGGUGAAAUUCGUAGAUAUUCGGAGGAACACCAGUGGCGAAGGCGGCUCACUGGCUCGAUACUGACGCUGAGGUG
This 230-nucleotide ribosomal RNA is filed under the name uncultured microorganism. Its description in RNAcentral is "partial 16S ribosomal RNA". It matches the Rfam family "Bacterial small subunit ribosomal RNA", at positions 524 to 753 of the family's 1533-position model. The record is from RNAcentral.